GAGUUUCAGAGGCUGAGUGCGACAUGCCGUCACUUUGUCCUUAUGGUUUGUACCCGCCCGGCCUGAGAGGUGCUGUAUUUGCACAUUUCAGCCCCCUGAGCACUGACGGGUGGUGAAUAUGGAGCAGUGGGGCCCAGGCUGCACUCUCUACUUCGUUUCUCCUUCACCCUGGGCAAAAAGCUAGCAGGCUUUCCUGUUUCCGAGCUGACUGUGUGAUCUGAGCUGACUCUGAAACCUGUCAAGCACAAUGCCUGCUGUGGGAGCCACCUUCUCCAACUGACACCGCCUGACCCCAGCUUCCAGCUCACUCCCCGCUCUGUGAAGGAAGCAGCUCCAGGGAAUUUGAAGAAUCUCCAGGAGGGCCAGAGAGUAGACUUGGAUGCCACCCAGCCAGCAAUAGAGAAGUUGGGACCACCCAGCCAGGGACAAGGCCACACCUCAGCCAUCACCACCCACAAGCAACGCAGCAUGUAUGAGCUGGGACAGGACACCAGAAACUACCUCAUGAUUGCUCCGGAAGAAGCAGCUGCAGGUGCUCAGCCAUCUUUAUUUCCUGCCACCCCCAAACUAUGAAGACAGCAAAGCAGCCUGUGGAGAGGCUGCUCACAGAGGCAACCCCACCCUUACUUGGUGAUGGCACGUGGAACUCCACCUCCCAGGUGGAAAAUGGAAAAAUUGUUUCCUUCUCUGAUCUACUGCCUGAGCUGUCAUCAGGAUUUUGAGGACUGACUUAAUGAAUAAAAUAUAAAGGCUUAGCGUGAGCCUGGGAUAUGCAUGGUGGAAGAGAAUAAAUAGCCUUUUGUAUAU
This is a long non-coding RNA of Homo sapiens (human), 807 nucleotides long. Ensembl annotates it as long intergenic non-protein coding RNA 2814. The record is from Ensembl. Lineage: Eukaryota; Metazoa; Chordata; Mammalia; Primates; Hominidae.